Non-coding RNA from Podarcis lilfordi (Lilford's wall lizard), 13490 nucleotides. NCBI's taxonomy places the organism in Eukaryota, Metazoa, Chordata, Lepidosauria, Squamata, Lacertidae. The record is from the annotation of a GenBank genome assembly.
UCCAGUGAACAGGGAAGGCAAGGCACACACUCCAUUCAGCUGCUCAAGGGCAGCUCAGCCUCAUUCUUCUGCCAAAAGGGCAGAGAAGGGUUACUUCCUCAUGUCUGGCUUUGUGCUCUUGUGGGCAGAAUUUGCAAGCAGAGAAACACCCACAAGUCAAACAGGUGGGUUUCACACAUUUCCUUAGCCCCAAAACAGUGCUCUUUGAUUAUCAUCUUGAAAAAGGCUUGUUUGCUACAGGUAAAUAUUACCUGAACAGAUGAAAUGUGAGCAGAUGGAGAAAGGAACAGGGCUCUGUUCCCUUUAAAAAAUUAAAAAGAGGACAUUUAGGCAGGUGUGGCUUUAUCUUAUUCCUGCAAAACAAGCUGCACCUGCCGAAAUUCCCUUUCUGAAACAGCUACCUGAAGACAACACAGGCAUUCUGUCUUCUUUUCCUGUUAGUUUCUCGCUCGGUCUCUGUGUAGGAAGAAGUAGCUGUGUUCACAAGGAAGGGGAACUACAGUAAGGCUAUAAUCCUGUACUGAAGUUACUUGGCAGUAAGCCCCACUGAACUCAGUGGGACUUCCUUCUCUAAUCAACAUGCAUAGGUUUAGGCUGCAUCAGAUCUAAGAUGUAACAAUUCUUGAGGGUUUGUAAAGAAAUGGGCAUUUUCAUUAAGGAAUUUCAUUCAUUUAGGGAGAGGGGGACCAGAUGGACAGGGGGACCCUCUACAGCAGAUUGGGGAUGGGGAGGCUGCAGUGGAGAUGAGAGGAAGGGGAAUUAACAAUGCAGAAGUCCACUCACACAGAAUCUUUCUUUAUUAUACAGUCAUACCUCAGGUUACAUAUGCUUCAGGUUGAGUGUUUUCGGGUUGCGCUCUGCGGCGACCCGGAAGUAGUGGAACGCGUUACUUCUGGGUUUUGCCGCUCGCGCAUGCACAGAUGCUCAAAAUGACGUGUGCAGAAGUGGCGAAUUGCAACACGUGCAGUCGCGUGUUAUGUUCGCUUCAGGAUGCGAACGGGGCUCCGGAACGGAUCCCGUUUGCAUCCAGAAGUACCACUGUACUAACAUGAUGAGCUGCUUGUGCGUAAAAUCGUAUCCCCUCAGAGUUUGUUCAAGUCCACAAACCUCUGUCUGUGACGGAGCCCCUCAGACAUGGCUGCUCUAGUCACUAGCAGAUUCCGACAGUGGUUGCUUUCGUAAUCGCUUCCAACAUAAAAGCUCCUUAACGGAAACACGUCUUCUGGAAUCUCUGCGUGACAGUUUCCGGCGAGGAGUGGGUGUUCUUACAGGAGGUCCUGAAACCUCCCCACUGUUUUCGCUGGAAGUGUCUCUGAGCCAUCCCUCCAGCUCAGCUCCUCUCCCCUGCUGGUUCCUUCUUCAGCUGCUGCGUCUCUCCCAACCUGUGUGAGCCCUUUCACCUCCCUGUUGGUUCCCUCUUCAGCUGCUGCGUCUCUCCCAACCUGUGUGAGCCCUUUCACCUCCCUUCCGUCCGAUGGCAGUUCCCUGACAUCCACCUCCCCUCCAGGGCCCCCUUCACCCCCUCUCGCCCGGGCGGUGAGGAGGCAAAACCCCGGAAUGAACUUCCUUCAUCUUCCGAUGUCUCGAACACUUCUCUCAACCUGUUGCGGUUCCUGGUCUCGAAGUACACCUCCUCCUCAGAGUCCAUCUCCCUUCCCCUUCCGAGUCCGGGAAUCCUUCCAACUCCUCCCCUUCAUCAGUGGUCCCAAAGUAUUCCCUCCGGAACCUCUCCACAGGCUGAGGUUUCCUUGGGAACCUUUGAUGGAACGUUUCUAUCAAUACCUCGUCAUUGAUAUCUUCAGCCAUUACCCAAGUGUUUUCUGACUCCGGUUCUCCUUCCCACGCUACCAAAUACUCCACCUGAUCCCCCUUCCACCUGGCGUCGAGGAUUUCUGCCACAUGGCUGCUGCAUUCUCUUUCUUCUACGACCGGUCCCCGAGUGGCCAGCCCUUCUCGUCCCCUUUCGUACGGUGACAGUAACGACCUGUGAAAUACUGGGUGCAGUUUCAUGUGGUUGGGUAACCGGAGCCUGAAAGCCACUGGGUUGACCUGUUGAAUGACCUCAAAGGGACCCAACCUCCUGGGUCUUAAUUUCUUACAACCUCCUUUGAACGGCAACCCUUGGGUUGACAGCCACACCCUAUCUCCCACCCUUAUGGUUUCACCUUCCCUUCGGUUCUUGUCUGCCUGCCUCUUGUAUUCUUCCUUCGCCCUUUCUAAGUUGAGUUGGAGCUGACGAUGGAUUGCUUCCAUUUCUUCCACAAAAUGCUCGGCUGCCGGGACGCUCCAUCUCUCCCCUCUCCCCUGGGAAAGCCCUGGGAUGACACCCAUAAUUAGCCAAGAAGGGGCUCAUCCCUGUGGACACAUUCUCGGCAUUGUUGUAGGCAAAUUCCGCCAGCGCCAACUUUUCUACCCAGUCAUUCUCUCUGUCAUUGACAUAACACCUCAGGUAUUGCUGGAGGACACCGUUUGCUCUUUCCGCCUGCCCGUUGGUUUCAGGGUGCCGGGCAGUCGAAAAAUUGACCUCCACCUGCAGUAAGCUCAUGAGCUUCCUCCAGAACCUGGAAGUAAAUUGUUUUCCUCGGUCUGAGACCACCCUCAAUGGCACCCCGUGCAACCUAAAAAUGUUUUCUACAAAUAACUUCGCUGUCUCUUCCGCCGUGACUGCAUGCGAGCAAGCUACAAAGUGGCACAUCUUUGUUAGUAGGUCUACCACCACCAUGAUGGCUGUUUUCCUUUGGACUUCGGCAGAUCAGUCAUAAAAUCUAUCGACACUGCCUCCCAAGGUCGUUCUGGGGUUGGUAAGGGUUCUAACAGCCCCGCCGGCGCCCGCCUUUCCCUUUGGCUCGCUGGCAUUGCUCGCACCCUCUUACAUACUCACGUACAUCUUCCCUCACCUUAGGCCACCAAAAUUCCCUGGUGACCAACCACAUGGUUUUGUGUUGUCCAAAAUGCCCCGCCGUAGGGCUGUCGUGCAACUGCUUGAGUACCCUCCCCUUAACUCUCCUUCAGGGAUAUACAGUGCCCCUUUGUAAUACAAAGCUCCAUUUCUUUCCUCGAAACCCCUGGUUCCUCUCCAUCACCCCUAAGACCUCUGAGCUUAUUCUGGGCGUAUUCAUCAUUCUCUGUUUCCUCUACCAGUUCUCUUUGUCCCACCAAUGCCGCCCCACACACCCAGCGGUCUUCUGGAAUGACAUGUCUCUCUUCGGGUGCCCCUCCCUCCAAAUAUUCAGGUUUGCGUGAGAGAGCGUCCGCCCUAAUGUUCUCUGGGCCUGGCACGUAACUAAUCUCAAAGUUAAAUUUGGAGAACUCCUGGGCCCAUCUCACUUGCCGUUGGUUGAGCACUCGUGCCGUCCUCCAAUACUCUAGGUUCUUGUGGUCAGUGCACACUUGCACCUUAUGUUGUGCGCCAAUUAGCAGGUGCCUCCAUCUCCGGAACGCCUCAUGAAUGGCUAGUAGUUCUCGGUCAUACACCGUGUAGUUCCUCUCGGAUUUGUUCAGCUUUCGCGAAAAAAGGCACACGGUCUCCACUCUGACCCCUUCUUGCCUGGCUGCAGAAGCACCGCCCCAAUCGCUCUGUCUGAUGCGUCAGUUUCCACUCUCAUCGGUUUUUGUAAAUCCACAUGCAGGAGUUGUUGUUCCGAGGCGAAGGCCCUUUUAGUUCCUCAAAUGCUCGCUCCGCCUCCUCAGUCCACACGAACUUCUUCUUACUGCUGAGACAGUCCGUAAUGGGCGCCGUCAGGUGGGCAAAGUUUCGGAUGAACUUACGAUAGAAGUUCCCAAAUCCUAGGAACCUCUGCACAUCCUUCUUUGUUUUGGGUGUUUUCCAUUCCAGCACCGCCUGGACCUUGCCGGGAUCCAUGGCCAAUCCCUUGUCUGACAGGCGAUACCCCAGGAAUUCCACCUCCUUGGUAUGAAACUGACACUUCUCCAGUUUCACCCACAGCUGGGUGGCUUGCAGCCUGCUCAACACUUCUCUGACGUCUCUCACAUGCUGCUCCUCAUUCUCAGAAUACACCAACACGUCGUCUAAAAAGGCCACACAAUUCUUGUAAAGCAAAGGCCCCAGGACGUGGUUCAUAAACGAUUGAAAUGUUGCGGAGCCUGCUUGUAGGCCGAAGGGCAUAACCAAAUAUUCAAAUGCCCCUAAAGGGGUGAACAUAGUGGUUUUCCAUUCAUCCCCCUUCCUUAUUCGUACCAGGUUGUACGCCCCCCUUAGGUCCAGCUUUGUGAAAAUCUUUCCCUUCCGCACCCUUGUCAAAAUGUCGUCAAUCCUGGGCAUAGGGAAGGCUACUGGUUCUGACACUGCAUUUAAGGCCCUGAAGUCACACACCAGCCUCGGCUUGUUCGUGUUUUUCUUAUCCACAAAAACACUGGGCUGCCCCCACCGCGCUGGACUCUCUGAUGAACCCUCUCUUCAGGUUCUUGUCAAUGAACUCUCUUAACUCCUGCAUCUCUCUGUCUGACAUGGCGUACAGCUUGCCUACAGGGAGCUGUGCUCCAGGGAGUAAGUUGAUUUGACAGUCAAAGGGUCUAUGCGGGGUAGUUGGUCAGCUUCCCUUUCGCUGAAGACGUCACGGAGAUCUGCAUAUUGUCGUGGUACCUUCACGUUCUCUGUUACUUCAGUCCCUGCUAGGGUGGCUUGGACCCCUGCCAAACCCUUUCCCUCUUUGCAGUGUUCUAAGCAAUGUGCUGAACCAAAAGAAACCACUCUCUGAUGCCAGCCCACCAGCGGAUCAUGUAACGCUAGCCAGCUCAUCCCCAAUAUAAUGGGAGCUCCUCCCAAGGUGGCCACAUUAAAAGCUAUCAGUUCGGUGUGCCUUGCUACCUUCAUUAUCAUUGGGACGGUCUGCAAGCUGACUUCUCCACCCAACAGCUCCCUGCCAUCGAUCGUGGUCACCUGCAGGGGCUGCUUAAAGGGAUUGUCUGUAUCUGGUGUUCAGCUGCAAACUCUUUGCUCAUGAAAUUGCAGGAGCUGCCUGAGUCCAACAGCGCCUUUAUCUUUAGAGGGUGUCCGUUUGGCAGCUCUAGCGUCACUUCUAUCACUAGGGCGGGUUUAGGAGGUUCUGGCGUGGGCACUCUCACUGCUCUUUGGCCUGGCUGCUGUGCCCUGACAGUGGCAGCCAGGCGUUGGCUUUUACUUGCUCCGGUAUUUUUCCUCUCUUCCAUCCACAGCUCCUACCAUCCCUUGCCAUUCUUUCCUCUGGGGGCAGACUCUGGCAAAGUGACCUGGCUGUUGGCAGAGAUAGCAUUUCCGGGCGCCUUUUCCCUCCUUCUUUGCCCCCUCACUGGGCUUUGAAACCGCGCGCGCGCGCUGUUCCGAUUUCCAUCGGCUCUGCCGGUGGGAAAGUUGGCUCUGGAAUGUCUGGAAUGCGGAACUCCUUCCAACGUUCCCCUUUCCCUUCCCGCCUCUCCAAUGCUCUCGCCUCCUGGCGCGCCCCUAUGGCCAGCGCUGAUUUGGUCAGCUGGUCCAUAGACUCCGCCCUGGGCGCCCGGGAAAGUUCGUCUUUCACAGCCGAAGAAAGCCCUUCUUCAAAGAGCAUUUGAAUGGGUUCCGCCGAUAAGUCCCACCCCAAUCUGUGAACAAGCAUGGUGAACUCAGUCCAGUACUCACGGACAGAUCGGCUCCCUGUUUGCAACCCAUUAACUGUCUGCGCACCACUCCCUUUUCAAUAUCGCUGGAAAACAUCAGAUCCAUGGCGCGAAAGAACUUCAUCGUGUCCUUUAAGACGUCACUAUUCGCUGCCAUCAGGGGUCUAACCCAGUCUCUCGCCCCUUUUCAAGAUGCUCAAUCACGAAAGCCACUCGUGAUUCCUCGUCAGGGAAUUCAUCAAACUGCAGAUUGAGGGCAUAUUGCAUUUCUGUCCGAAAACCAUGAUAGUUUUUGGGCUCCCCCCCAAACUUCUGCACCAAUCCUGGUACCUUUCUGGGGAUCUGGGUGGCUUUAGCCCUUUGGUCUGCAUCCUGAGCCCUCCUCUCCUCAAGCCUCGCCGUCUGCAUCGCUAGCUGGACCUCCAACAUCUGGUACCUUUCUUCCAGGCUUGGACCCGCUCCAGCUCCUGCUUCUCCGGUUCCGGCUGGGUUGCUCAUGAUGCCUUCUCCUGCACAAGCUGCUUUCAAAGACUGUCGGAAUGCUGUGAUGGGAUGAUGAGCUGCUUGUGCGUAAAAUCGUAUCCCCUCAGAGUUUGUUCAAGUCCACAAACCUCUGUCUGUGACGGAGCCCUCAGACAUGGCUACUCUAGUCACUAGCAGAUUCCGACAGUGGUUGCUUUCGUAAUCGCUUCCAACAUAAAAGCUCCUUAACGGAAACACGUCUUCUGGAAUCUCUGCGUGACAGUUUCCGGCGAGGAGUGGGUGUUCUUACAGGAGGUCCUGAAACCUCCCCACUGUUUUCGCUGGAAGUGUCUCUGAGCCAUCCCUCCAGCUCAGCUCCUCUCCCCUGCUGGUUCCUUCUUCAGCUGCUGCGUCUCUCCCAACCUGUGUGAGCCCUUUCACCUCCCUGUUGGUUCCCUCUUCAGCUGCUGCGUCUCUCCCAACCUGUGUGAGCCCUUUCACCUCCCUUCCGUCCGAUGGCACUAUUAUGUGGCACAUUAAGUUUAUCCAUAUUUACUGACCUUCUUUCUCAUUUGGAUGGGUAAAUACAUUAGGUUUGUGAUGGUGUCACAGAUUUUACUUAGGAUCUCUGUUGGAUAUUCUUUCAACACCAGGAUAUUAAAGUUAGCAAGUCCUCUUAGAAAACUAUAGUUUGUGGUUGAAAGUAUGAGCAGUAGUUCUAAACUGCAGACAUUGAAAGGAUUAAGGAUGUUGUUCUUGCAGUUCAAUAAUUAUUUCAAUGUAUGUCAUAAAUUAUCUUCCUUAAAUUAUUUUCUUAGUUCUGUGAAACCAUUAUUUCCAUAAAUAAAGAUUUCCUAAUAAUUCUUCCUCCUCCAUGUUUGCAUUAUAAAACAAUGCAGUAAGAGGUGAUUAAACCUCAGGCUAUUUUUUUGCUUGUAUUUAUUAUACAAAGUGUUAAACAUGGUUGAUAUGCAUGGCUUAUAGACUUAUCAAAAUGUGAGCAAUGCCAGAGUGUAUUGUUUAGACUUAUCAAAACAUUAAUUUGGUCCAGUAUUUAAAAUCUUUUCGGGUAAAAUCUGAUUUUUAAAUGGGCCAGCAUAGCUGCUUCAUAGUGUUUUCUAAUUCAUGGGAAAGCUAUUCCUUUCUCCUUCAUUCUGUCUUCAAAGUUACUCUGGGUCUUUUCUUUUGCCGGAUGAAACCUAUAUCUUUUGCCAAGUAUCAAAAAUUUCGGGUGAACUCCUAAUGGUAAAUUUAAAAAAAUACAAUGGUAUUUUUGACAAUACUAUCAUUUUAAAGGCAGCGAUUUCCCCCAACUGUUAUUUAUUUGUGACCAGUGUUUUUAUUCAUUUUUGUCUUUGUUUUACUUCAGAUAAUUUGUCUAUAUUUAAAAGAUUUAAUGCACACAUUUAUUUAUUAACAAUGUAUGUAUAUUACCCAACAGCUAAUAUACAGGUGAAUAAUAAAGUUUAAAAUGCAUAAAUAUUUUUUAAAAGCAACAAAACAGACCUUAAACUUUAUUAUGAAUCAGCAGCUUUUUGCUGGUUGAAAUAAUGGCUGCUUCUUGAAAACACAGACAUCUUGGAUUUAGAAGGUUUUAAUAAUGUAUUUGGAUGGCAUGCAUAUUUAUGGUAUGACAAGGUCAAAGCACAUAAAGCAUUCAAAAACCAUAUUGUCAGGAAAGCAUUGUUUAAUGUCUGGAUAAGAUAUAAGGACUUACUUGAAAAUAAAACCCCAAGGUGGUUGUCACCGAUGGAAGCGAAAGCACUGAAAAAGCUCAAUAUGGAGGCCAAAUGGCCGAAAUAUUGGGAAAUUCUGGAACAAGAGGGAGACAGAUUGAAACUGCAGAGUUUUGAGAAACUAAAAAAUAAAAUGUGAGAUUGGCUUCAUUAUUAUCAGAUAAUGGAGGCAUAUAAUUCGGACAAGAAAAUUGGCUUCCAGGUGGAAAAAUCAAAAUUAGAAACAGAACUGUUAGAACCCAAAACUAAGACUUUAUCAAAGAUGUAUAACUUGCUGUUGAAAUGGAAUACUCAGGAUGAAACGGUGAAAUCUGCUAUGAUUAAAUGGGCACAAGACGUUGGACAUAACAUAAUGAUGGCUGACUGGGAACAGUUAUGGACCACAGGUAUGAAGUUUACGGCAUGCAAUGCCUUAAGAGAGAAUAUUAUGAAAAUGAUAUACAGGUGGAAAAUGACACCAGUCAAGCUUGCAAAAAUCUAUCAUUUGCCCGAUAAUGAAUGUUGGAAAUGUAAAGAAACUGAAGGUACAUUCUUUCACCUUUGGUGGACGUGCCCAAGGAUUAAGGCUUUCUGGGAGAUGAUCUAUAAUGAAUUGAAAAAGGUAUUUAAAUAUACCUUCCUGAAGAAACCAGAGGCCUUUCUCCUGGGCAUAGUCGGCCAAUCGGUGUCAAAGAAGGAUAGAACUUUCUUUAUGUAUGCCACAACAGCAGCAAGAAUACUUAUUGCAAAGUACUGGAAGACACAAGAUCUACCCACCCUGGAAGAAUGGCAGAUGAAGGUGAUGGACUAUAUGGAAUUGGCGGAAAUGACUGGCAGAAUCCGAGACCAGGGAGAAGAGUCGGUGGAAGAAGAUUGGAAAAAGUUUAAAGACUAUUUACAGAAAUAUUGUAAAAUUAAUGAAUGUUAGAAUGAUGUUGGAUAGAAAUUAAGUGGUUUUUAGCUGUAAUACUAUAAGGGAAUAUGAAAAAUGGAUUAUGAAUAGGUAAAAAUUUAAUGUUACAAUAUUUUAAGAUUAAAGACUAGGAUAAACGAAGAGGGGAAGGAUUUGCUGAACUAACAAACUGAACUGGAAUGCAAAAAAGGGAGGCACGAGGAGGUCCGGGAAACAAGCUAAUGAAAAAUAAGUAAUGGAAAGAUUGAGUUGUUUUUAACUAUUUUUAUUUUGUAUUUUUCUUUUUUCUUUUUUCAUUUUGUAAUAUCUUGAAAAUUUUAAUAAAUAUCUUUAAAAAAAAUAAUAAAAGCAACAAAACAAGCAAUAAAACAUUAAUCGAUAAAACAUCAACAGCAAACCAUGUAAAAUAGCAUAAAAAAGAGGUAUGGCAGAUUGGACUAUUGGAAAUCUUGACAAAUAAAUUGAGACUUGCAUGAGAAUAAAUUUAAAAAGGAAAUUUCACUGCAACUUGCAUUGAUUUAUGAGUACAGCUGAACAUGGCAAUCUUCUGGCACCAGCUCUUUGUAUUGUAUAAUUGAUGUAACUCUCCUAACUCCCCUUCUUUGGUGAAGGAGGCUCACCUAUGGAAAAAAGGGCAAGUUUUAUUUUAUAUAAUCCUUUUGUCAUGUCUUAUACUAAAAGGUAUGAAUUAUACCACUAGUUGUAUGAAUUAAAGUUUAAUUAUUUUUAUUACUUCAAUCCAUCUCAAAGCAUUAUUUAAUCUUUUGCAGCACAGUUGGGUUUUGUUUCUUCCUUUUUAUGUUUCAUGAUGUAGUAUAUAUUAUUUGUAGUUUGUUUAGCUUGCUGCAUUCUUUUAUGAUUUUGUAUGUUAUAUUGGCAUAACACCUAAACAGUUACAGUAUUAUGUAUGCUAAUAUUGUGGAAAUUCCAACUUUGGUGUUUUAUAGCCUCUAUUUUGGAAAUGUGAUAUUUCUUCUUAUUGUUAAAAAUAUUAUAUAUAUAUAUAUAUAUAUAUAUAUAUAUAUAUAUAUAUAUGAUAGCAUAGAAAAGCACUAGAGUAUCUUGAGGAUUUAAAAUCCCAGGAAAUAAAAAGGACCACAAUGUGGGUGCCAGGCAAGUACCUCUAGCGAGGGCAUUCCAUAACCAGGGCAUGACCACCGAAAGGGUAUCAUAUUAGAUGCUGUAAGAAAAUAACACUGUGAAAUCUAAAAAUACUGACAGGGUGAAGAUUUAGGCCGUGUUCCUAUGAAUAGAGAUAAUGGAGGAAGCACUAGACUCCCAAGAAGCAGCACAGGACAUUGGCCUUCCUUGCCAACCUCUUAUUCAGUCCAAUCCUAAACAUGUUUAUUCAGAAGUAGCACUGAACUCAGUGAUUGGAAGCUGCAAUGCCUAGCUUAAGAGAGACCACAGACACUCACAUGAAUUGGCGGGGGGGGGGGGGGGCUGAAUACAGACUUUAGCAGGGAUAGUCAAUGUGUUGCUGCCCUCUAGCUCCUAUAGUCCCUGAUGACUGGCCAUGCUGGCUGGGGGUGAUGGGAGCUCAGCAACUUCUGGAGGGCACCAUAUUGGCUACCACUGCUUUAAGGUAUUAGAUGGGGGGUUAUUUUCAUUGUAUUAUUGACAGGGGUGUAAGGGGAGGGGUAGUACUUCUGGUGAGAGAUAAGUUGUGCUCCUUCUGGGGGAGUUAGUCCAUCUUGGUCCCCACCCUGCACUCAGCUCUCACCUGUGGCUCCUAGAAUAAGGUUACCAGACACCCCCGUUUCCCGGGGACAGUCCCCAGAUCUAAACAUCAGUCCCCAUACAAAAUCCAUUGAAGUUGAAAAGUGUCCCUGGAUUCAUUGAAAAAAAUCUAGUAACCUUAUCCUAGAAGCUGUCAACAUGCUACAGCAGCCACACUCUGGGAAUGGCUUCGACUGGCCAGCUAAACUGAGUGAGGCUAGCUGAUGGGUCUCAAACCCUUGGUGAGUUUAAGGACCCUCCAGGUGAAGACAGGCUGAAGCAGAUUGAGUGGAUGAAACCAAGAAAUGGUCAAGAAGGUGGUUUCUGCAUGUGCUGUAGAGGGAAGCGAGGGACAGAUGGGGCUCAUCAGCCUGGGAAAAUAGUAGCCUAUCUAGGAGAAGGAAAACUCUGGUCCUAACCUCUGCUGCCUUGCAGUUUAUCAUCAGGAGAAGAAAAGGCUAAGGAGUCAACCCUACACAAAUCCAGCCCCUAAUGUGGCUGGAUGGCACCUUGUACGCCUCCUUCCAGCAACUCCUGCAGCCAAACUAGUGCCAAAUGUAUUGCUCUGCUUUCCUUUGGACCACAUCAGCAAGGCUGAGAGGGGAACCAUGUCAUCUGGGCAGCCCAGGAUCUCCAUCCACACACUGCCCAGGCUUGUGCCCUGGGGAGGUCACUUCACCCUUGGAGGUGCACUCCAUUGUCUCUCAAGAUAGAUGGAUGCUAACCACCAUUAUUGACAUAUGUUGUAUCCACAAUGGCCAGUGGAGCUGGUUUAAAUGAGGUGCAAAUCUUUAAAUAAGGGGCAUGGGGCUGGUUAGAAAAUAAUUAUUUACUACAUUAUUACAUUACAUGGCCUUCUUGUCAAAGUUGCCGUUUCUGCUUCUGUUGGCCUUUCCCCCUGCUCAUUCCUUUUCAAAUUCAGUUUCAAUUCCAUUUCCAGAACACUAAUAAUUUAAAGUGAAUUAACACGUUAAAUGAGUCUUUACCUUGGAGGCUGGUUGUGGGUGGGACUGAUAUUGGCAACCUUAUUGUCAAGUCAGGAUCCUAGAAAUGGUUACGGUACUUGGAAGUUUCAGUGUUAUAGUGAAUAGGAUACUAUGCUCUUCAUGGUAGGAAGUUGUCUUGCCUUGGGCAUUGUAUUCUGAACAUACCAAAGUGUCUGUCAAUGUUUGCUUGAUCAAAUCCAUUCCAGAAGAAUAUUUGCCCUUCAGAAUUAUUUUUAUCAUGUGUCUAGCAGGAGCAAUUUAACAGCAUCAGAGGGACAACAUCUGAUACUAACUCUCCUUUUGUUUUCACUCUGGAAUUUUAACACAUUUCUCUCUCCAGGAAGUGCUCUUAUAAUGGCUGACCUGUGCAACAAAUAGAUUAAAAGGUCUCAAGGAGAUCCUGCGCUGCUCAUCCAGGAGGGUAGAGCAACUCCUGCAAGACCUGCAUGAAUCCCUGCAAUUCCCUCCAAGUGUAUGCAGAGAAGAGCUGCCAGUAGUCCAGCAAGCAAUUCAAAGCACGGUGUGACAAAGGGCUGUGUUCCCACCCUAACUCCAUUUGGCAUAAACUUCUAUGUGUUGCUCUCAUAUGCCUUCAGCUUGACUGAAGACUGGGUGUACAUCCAUUCAAGGAGUCUGUUCAACCUUGCAGUCUCCACAUCAAGACAAAAAUGCAGUGGUUCUUUAUGAUGAUUCAGUCUUCAUAGCGCACUGUGAGGAAGCUGAACAGAGAUCCACCAACCGUUUUACCCAAGUCUGCUGGGAGUUUGACUUUUGUCUACCUGGGCUCCACCAUAACCAGCAAUCUCUCAUCGAUGCUGAGCCGGACAAGCAUAUUGGUAAGACAGCUACGGCAAUGGCUCCCCUCUCCAAGAGUACAGGAGAAUGUGGUGCUAAUGACCGAGAGCAAUAUGAAGGUCUACCAGGCUUGUGUGUUGAGCACGCUGCUUUACGGAAGUGAGUCACGGGCAGUGGCGGAGGAAGGGGGCGGGGGUGGUGUGCCCGGGUGCCAGCCUGUGGGGUGGCAUUGCUGCGGGCGGGCGCCUACCCAAUUGGGAUGACGGCUCGCACGGGCGGGCACCUCCCCCUUGGGACACUUGCUCGGGCGGGUGCCGCCCCAUUGGGAUGCUUGCUCGGGUGGGUGCCACCCCAUUGGGACGAUGCUCGUAUGGGCAGGCACCUCCCCCUUGGGACGCCCCCAUGUGCAACGUGCCACGCCCCUGCCGCCCUGGGUACCAAAGCCCCUUCCUCCGCGACUGGUCACAGGCAACUUACAGAAACGAUGCCUCAACGCCUUCCACAUGUGCUGCAUCAGGAAGAUUUUGGGCAUCACAUGGCAGGACAGAGUCUCAAACAGAGAUGUGCUCUCCCAAGGCCACAUUCCAAACAAGUUCACAAUGAUGUCUCAGCAACCUUUACAAUGGCUUGGUCAUGUCCACAGAAUGGAAGAUGGCAGCAUCGUCUAUGGGGAGCUGUCUUCAGGCACCAGGCUUGUUGGCAGACCAACUCUGCAUUACAAAGAUGUCUGCAAACGUGCCGUGGAGCCAGGCUGCAUUAACUGUGCCACGUGGAAUCCCUUGCAGAUGACCGCAGCACCUUGAGACAGGCAGGUUGUGUAUCCACAGCAGUGAUCGGAGAAGGAAUGACCCCUAGGAGCACAGAAACGCAUAGCACAUCUGCAUCAGUACAACUGGAUGCCUUCAUCUGCCUCAGCUGCAACGAAACAUGUCAGUCUCUGCAGCCGCAGCAGGUGCUGUAACUCUCCUAUGCUUUGACUUCACCCCAAAGGUGCACGCUUCUUGCCUCCUGAGAAAGGAUGCCAUCAACAAAUAGCUUACACCUAGACUGUGAAGAAACGCUAAUGUUAAGCUUCGUGAAAAUGCCCAAUAUGCCUCCCCUUAAAGACAGAUUGCCUCGCACGCCCUUAGUGUCUCUUGUAAGCAAAUCCCUUUAAUCAUACUUUUAAGUAUAAACUGAAAGAAGCCUCUUUUUUUUGUUCUUCUCAAAAUAAACAAGGUGAGAGAAAGAUGUUGAUGUUGCAUCCAAUGUGAAAGAAUUGAAAAAAUCUGGAUGUUCAAGUCCUUACCUGGUUCAGGGAGAAAAGUU